AUGGGAUCGCCCGCCGCGGUCGCCGCCGAUUCAGCGUUUAUCUACACUCUUCUCCGCCUGGGAAUCAUCAUGUGCUUGCUGACCUGCUCGGGCCACAUCGCCGCUGAAACUGCAAACAGCCCCUGCCUGUCUUGUCACGUGAUCUUUGUAUUCUUGCUUGUGAUACUGGAAGCUGCAAUCGCCGCCGAUGUAUUUUUGAAUAGCUACUGGGAGGAGCCUUUUAGAGAUUCCAUGCAAUUUAUAAAUUAUAAUUUCAGUGAUGUCUCAUCCUUCUCAUUUGCUAUCCAUGGCACUCGGCUUAUAGCAUAUAAGCCGAUCAAAUGUAAACCGUGUCAUAUAAGCCGGGAGUUUGACUCGGCUUAUAUAUAA
RNAcentral lists this ribosomal RNA (369 nucleotides) under Triticum aestivum (bread wheat). RNAcentral's name for it is "partial small subunit ribosomal RNA". Lineage: Eukaryota; Viridiplantae; Streptophyta; Magnoliopsida; Poales; Poaceae. The record is from RNAcentral.